AUUGAACGCUAGCGGCAUGCUUAACACAUGCAAGUCGAACGGCAGCGCGGGUAGCUUGCUACCUGGCGGCGAGUGGCGGACGGGUGAGUAAUGCGUAGGAAUCUACCUUAUGGUGGGGGAUAACUCGAGGAAACUCGAGCUAAUACCGCAUAAUCUCUAAGGAGCAAAGCGGGGGACCUUCGGGCCUCGUGCUGUAAGAUGAGCCGACGUCGGAUUAGCUAGUUGGUGGGGUAAUAGCCUACCAAGGCGACGAUCCGUAGCUGGUCUGAGAGGACGAUCAGCCACACUGGGACUGAGACACGGCCCAGACUCCUACGGGAGGCAGCAGUGGGGAAUAUUGGACAAUGGGGGAAACCCUGAUCCAGCAAUGCCGCGUGUGUGAAGAAGGCCUUCGGGUUGUAAAGCACUUUCAGUGGGGAAGAAAGAACCAAAAUUAAUACUUUUGGGUGUUGACGUUACCUACAGAAGAAGCACUGGCUAACUCUGUGCCAGCAGCCGCCGUAA
This 504-nucleotide ribosomal RNA is filed under the name uncultured bacterium. RNAcentral describes it as "partial 16S ribosomal RNA". It matches the Rfam family "Bacterial small subunit ribosomal RNA", at positions 30 to 523 of the family's 1533-position model. The record is from RNAcentral.